CCUACGGGGGGCAGCAGUGAGGAAUAUUGGUCAAUGGAUGAGAGUCUGAACCAGCCAAGUAGCGUGAAGGAUGACUGCCCUAUGGGUUGUAAACUUCUUUUAUAUGGGAAUAAAAUGUUCCACGUGUGGGAUUUUGUAUGUACCAUAUGAAUAAGGAUCGGCUAACUCCGUGCCAGCAGCCGCGGUAAUACGGAGGAUCCGAGCGUUAUCCGGAUUUAUUGGGUUUAAAGGGAGCGUAGGUGGAUUGUUAAGUCAGUUGUGAAAGUUUGCGGCUCAACCGUAAAAUUGCAGUUGAAACUGGCAGUCUUGAGUACAGUAGAGGUGGGCGGAAUUCGUGGUGUAGCGGUGAAAUGCUUAGAUAUCACGAAGAACUCCGAUUGCGAAGGCAGUUCACUGGACUGCAACUGACACUGAGGCUCGAAAGUGUGGGUAUCAAACAGGAUUAGAUACCCUAGUAGUC
RNAcentral lists this ribosomal RNA (460 nucleotides) under uncultured bacterium. Its description in RNAcentral is "partial 16S ribosomal RNA". It matches the Rfam family "Bacterial small subunit ribosomal RNA", at positions 338 to 795 of the family's 1533-position model. The record is from RNAcentral.